UGGACAGUGAGCAAACCGUCUGAAAACAUUAGUCAAAAAGAUUCUUCCCUUCCAGAAAUGCUUGGUUAAGCAGGAUCCAGGCUGAACAGAGGGCCCGCCAUCCCGGAGCUAUACCUCCAAGAACACGUGACCUCCUCGGGUGACGGGACAGAGGAAGAAGGUCUCACGCUGAUAAUUAAAGGUUUUGGCCUGGAAGUGACGUGCUUCACUUCUGCUCCAGAACAUAGUCCUGCCUGACUGGAAAGGGAGCAGAGAGAUGUGCUCUCCUCACAUGCUCCGAGGGAGAGGCAGAGAAGAAAUG
Molecule: long non-coding RNA, 301 nt
Filed under: Mustela putorius furo (domestic ferret)
Lineage: Eukaryota; Metazoa; Chordata; Mammalia; Carnivora; Mustelidae
Description: lncRNA (ENSMPUG00000024064.1)
Source: RNAcentral